UAAAUCUGGAGAUAAUUUCAGAGGUCUGAGAGAGAAUGCCUGAACAGUUACAGGCCAAACUGAACCAUGAUAAUAACUGGCUUGCAGCAAGAAGAGAAUCAGUUUGAGGAAGAUUUUUUAAAAAUGGUUAAACUGGAUCUGAUGGAAUUUGGCGCCUGUCAGUGAGACUGUACCCUAAAGAUUUCUGAGCAGGGCCCAACAUUUCUAAAAAAUAUGACUCAAAUGACACCUUUGUUUUUACAGAGGUGAGCAGGACGUCAUGGAGAUUGGAACUGAUAGAGCUAGGAAAGAUUAAUCAGUACUUCACUUCUAAGUAUACACAGGGG
Molecule: long non-coding RNA, 326 nt
Organism: Oxyura jamaicensis (ruddy duck)
Lineage: Eukaryota; Metazoa; Chordata; Aves; Anseriformes; Anatidae
Exons: 2
Source: RefSeq, a predicted model, not a curated record